AUCCUGAUGACGAGUCCCAAGUAGGACGAAACAAGCUCCUGGAU
This 44-nucleotide non-coding RNA is filed under the name Schistosoma haematobium. The record is from RNAcentral. Lineage: Eukaryota; Metazoa; Platyhelminthes; Trematoda; Strigeidida; Schistosomatidae.